GAAACAUAAAAUUAGUUAUUCUAAGAAGAGACAGUCACAUUUCAAAAAUACAAGAAACAUGUAUUCUGAAUAAAUGAGAAUAAGCCUAAGUUUAAAGCAUCAGUAAGCAACUUUUACAAUUUUUUUUCACAUAUUUUUUAAAACUGUCAUUAUAUCAUUAUAGUAAACUGAGCACCUCCAAGUGAAAUGCCUGAAGAAAUGCAACUUACCGCUCCAGGAAAAUCAACCAAUCAGAGCC
This is a long non-coding RNA of Xiphophorus couchianus (Monterrey platyfish), 238 nucleotides long. RefSeq lists it as uncharacterized. The record is from RefSeq and is a predicted model, not a curated record. NCBI's taxonomy places the organism in Eukaryota, Metazoa, Chordata, Actinopteri, Cyprinodontiformes, Poeciliidae. The transcript is spliced from 3 exons.